This 459-nucleotide ribosomal RNA is filed under the name uncultured bacterium. Its description in RNAcentral is "partial 16S ribosomal RNA". It matches the Rfam family "Bacterial small subunit ribosomal RNA", at positions 338 to 795 of the family's 1533-position model. The record is from RNAcentral.
CCUACGGGUGGCAGCAGUGAGGAAUAUUGGUCAAUGGGCGCGAGCCUGAACCAGCCAAGUCGCGUGAGGGAAGACGGUCCUAUGGAUUGUAAACCUCUUUUGUCGGGGAGCAAAAGACGCCACGCGUGGCGUUCCGAGCGUACCCGACGAACAAGCAUCGGCUAACUCCGUGCCAGCAGCCGCGGUAAUACGGAGGAUGCGAGCGUUAUCCGGAUUUAUUGGGUUUAAAGGGUGCGCAGGCGGAAGAUCAAGUCAGCGGUAAAAUUGAGAGGCUCAACCUCUUCGAGCCGUUGAAACUGGUGUUCUUGAGUGAGUGAGAAGUAUGCGGAAUGCGUGGUGUAGCGGUGAAAUGCAUAGAUAUCACGCAGAACUCCGAUUGCGAAGGCAGCAUACCGGCGCUCAACUGACGCUCAUGCACGAAAGUGUGGGUAUCGAACAGGAUUAGAUACCCUGGUAGUC